CUUGGUCAUUUAGAGGAAGUAAAAGUCGUAACAAGGUUUCCGUAGGUGAACCUGCGGAAGGAUCAUUACAAGUGAGGCUACCGAUCGUUGGAAACAGCGGUUAGGAGCUUACACCCACCCGUGUUUACAUACUAUUGUUGCUUUGGCGGGCCGUGGCCUCCACUGCGGGCUCUGCUCGUGUGUGCCCGCCAGAGAACCAAACUCUGGAUGUUAGUGAUGUCUGAGUACUAUCUAAUAGUUAAAACUUUCAACAACGGAUCUCUUGGUUCUGGCAUCGAUGAAGAACGCAGCGAAAUGCGAUAAGUAAUGUGAAUUGCAGAAUUCAGUGAAUCAUCGAAUCUUUGAACGCACAUUGCGCCCUGUGGUAUUCCGCAGGGCAUGCCUGUUCGAGCGUCAUUUAACCACUCACGCCUAGCGUGGUAUUGGGGCACGCGGUCUCCGCGGCCCUCAAAAUCAGUGGCGGCGCCGGUGGGCUCUAAGCGUAGUACAUACUCCCGCUAUAGAGUUCCCCCCGGUGGCUCGCCAGAACCCCCAAUUUUUUACAGGUUGACCUCGGAUCAGGUAGGGAUACCCGCUGAACUUAAGCAUAUCAAUAAGCGGAGGA
Molecule: ribosomal RNA, 604 nt
Filed under: uncultured Phialocephala
Lineage: Eukaryota; Fungi; Ascomycota; Leotiomycetes; Helotiales
Description: eukaryotic LSU rRNA
Rfam family: 5.8S ribosomal RNA (bases 243-396)
Source: RNAcentral